Molecule: small RNA, 221 nt
Filed under: Oceanobacillus iheyensis HTE831
Lineage: Bacteria; Bacillati; Bacillota; Bacilli; Caryophanales; Bacillaceae
Description: BsrG
Rfam family: BsrG
About the family: bsrE, bsrG and bsrH pair through intermolecular interactions with antisense sRNAs. SR4 interaction with the 3'UTR of bsrG RNA promotes bsrG degradation and inhibits its translation.
Source: Rfam by way of RNAcentral
CGAUAGUAUCGGAUUUCUCAAGAGUGGUGCUGUAUGACAGUUUUCGAAACGCUUAUGUUUGCUGUAGCUUUUUCAAGUUUGAUUGUUGCAGUACUGUCAUUUAACCAAAAAAAUGAUCCACCCUUGAGUUAACGGCUCUGGUGGAUUACUUCUACCUUAUGCUGACCCCCUUGCAGGGAGCCUUAGCUAUUGCAAACCGUUUGGUGUUCGAGUACCAGACG